UACGGAGGAGGCAAGCGUUAUCCGGAAUUAUUGGGCGUAAAGCGUCCGUAGGUGGUUUGCCAAGUCUGCUGUCAAAGGAUGAGGCUCAACCUCAUAAGGGCAGUGGAAACUGGUGAGCUAGAGUGCGGUAGGGGUAGGGGGAAUUCCUGGUGUAGCGGUGAAAUGCGUAGAUAUCAGGAAGAACACCGGUGGCGAAAGCGCCCUACGGGGCCUGCAAUGACACUGAGGGACGAAAGCUAGGGGAGCGAAAGGG
This 253-nucleotide ribosomal RNA is filed under the name uncultured bacterium. RNAcentral describes it as "partial 16S ribosomal RNA". It matches the Rfam family "Bacterial small subunit ribosomal RNA", at positions 524 to 776 of the family's 1533-position model. The record is from RNAcentral.